GCCCAACUUGUCAGGUCCUCUGCCUCUGCGCCGCCCUUGGCGACCUUGCUUACCCCGUCACCGUGAGUGGCAUCAUCUGGUCUCUGUCUGCUGGCUGUCCCCGCCACCGCACUUCAGAUUGGCAGUGUGUCUGAUGCUGCACACUCCAGAGCAGCAUCCUUAUAUGUGUGCUGGACCCUGUCAUGUGACCCAGCACACAGUGAUGGCCUCAGAGAACACAAGGGAAGGAAGAAACUCCUCCCCCGUGUUGUGAUUAACACUAAUUGGAGUUUAGCCAAUCAGACACACCCUGUGUGUAAAAAGCUAACUCCACCCUUGCCUCAGUGCCCUAUUGUGGUCUUUGGAUUACCAUUGGGCUUUUCUGGUUACCGAUCUCUGGC
Pelobates cultripes (western spadefoot toad) is the source of this 380-nucleotide non-coding RNA. The record is from the annotation of a GenBank genome assembly. Lineage: Eukaryota; Metazoa; Chordata; Amphibia; Anura; Pelobatidae.